CAUGCAAAAGACAAUUAGUGGGGGAGUUACUGUUUCAGAGCUUCAGCUUCCUGAAGAGCUCCGUGUCCUUCCUACGGACAGCUGCAGUCCAUUUCAUAGCAUUAAUAGCUGAGAAGAUAAACCUGCAUUCCAUACAUGAGGAUGAUGUGCAGCUGUUACGAAAUGCUCUUGAAAGUAUGAAGAAUGAUCCUGUGGAAUCUAUCCAGAUUCUCGUGACUACUCUUCUUCAAAAUAUUGAGGAAUAUGUUAAUCCUGAGGACAGCUCUACUUCCAUUAUAAGUACUCGCUUCUUCCGAUUACGUGGCAGGAAAGCCCGAAAAAGAAAGAGGCACCUAUUUAAGACUGUCAGACAGGAAGGAGAUAAUGAUACUGAUCGGCCCAGGAAUUGGCUCCUAGGCCCUCUAAAUUUACUGUGGAACUGGUGCAAGGGAGUGUAAAAAAUACUCCCCUUAUAAUAGGCAACUUAGAAAAGUCAACACAGUCACAAGCACCAAAGUCUGAAAGUCCCCCUGAGGAAACUGAAUUGAUCCCAAAACAAGUUGCUCCUGAGUCACUGUGAACAUUUAGAACUGGUGGCUAAAGCCUUUUCCAGUUGUUUAUUCAGACGUCAGUGCUGGACUCUGCUGUAGUCUCUCCCACCUUUUUUCCAACUGGA
Molecule: long non-coding RNA, 655 nt
Organism: Myotis brandtii (Brandt's bat)
Lineage: Eukaryota; Metazoa; Chordata; Mammalia; Chiroptera; Vespertilionidae
Exons: 3
Source: RefSeq, a predicted model, not a curated record